Molecule: ribosomal RNA, 412 nt
Filed under: Actinomycetes bacterium
Lineage: Bacteria; Bacillati; Actinomycetota; Actinomycetes
Description: Actinobacteria bacterium partial 16S ribosomal RNA
Rfam family: Bacterial small subunit ribosomal RNA
Source: RNAcentral
UGGGGAAUCUUGCACAAUGGGCGGAAGCCUGAUGCAGCGACGCCGCGUGGGGGAUGACGGCCUUCGGGUUGUAAACUCCUUUCGCCAGGGACGAAGCCGUGAGGUGACGGUACCUGGAUAAGAAGCACCGGCUAACUACGUGCCAGCAGCCGCGGUAAUACGUAGGGUGCGAGCGUUGUCCGGAAUUACUGGGCGUAAAGAGCUCGUAGGUGGUUUGUCGCGUCGUCUGUGAAAUUCCGGGGCUUAACUCCGGGCGUGCAGGCGAUACGAGCAUAACUUGAGUGCUGUAGGGGAGACUGGAAUUCCUGGUGUAGCGGUGAAAUGCGCAGAUAUCAGGAGGAACACCGAUGGCGAAGGCAGGUCUCUGGGCAGUAACUGACGCUGAGGAGCGAAAGCAUGGGUAGCGAACAGG